AGAAAAUAACAAUCAUAUAUACGAAAGUUACGAAGCUGAAAAUGACAAAGUGGACGAAAAGUAUUUUGUUAUGUUAAAAACAUGUCGGGCGCUUAUCGAAGAAAAAGACUAUGAUACAUACGUAUUAAGACUAAACAAUAAUGAUUGUGUACCAUUGCCCAAAUCAUUGUGGGAAAGUGAACUAAUUGCUUCAAAAAAAAUAAAGAUUGAAAAUUUAUCGGAGU
Long non-coding RNA from Melanaphis sacchari, 224 nucleotides. RefSeq lists it as uncharacterized. Lineage: Eukaryota; Metazoa; Arthropoda; Insecta; Hemiptera; Aphididae. The record is from RefSeq and is a predicted model, not a curated record. The transcript has 5 exons.